RNAcentral lists this ribosomal RNA (468 nucleotides) under uncultured bacterium. Its description in RNAcentral is "partial 16S ribosomal RNA". It matches the Rfam family "Bacterial small subunit ribosomal RNA", at positions 28 to 507 of the family's 1533-position model. The record is from RNAcentral.
GAUGAACGCUGGCGGCGUGCUUAACACAUGCGAGUCGAACGGAAAGGCCGUGAUUUCGUGCGCUGCUCGAGUGGCGAACGGGUGAGUAACACGUGAGUAACCUGCCCUUGACUUUGGGAUAAGUUCAGGAAACUGGGGCUAAUAUCGGAUAGGAGCUGCUGCUGCAUGGUGGGGAUUGGAAAGUCUCGGCGGUGGGGGAUGGACUCGCGGCUUAUCAGCUUGUUGGUGGGGUAGUGGGUGGCCAAGGCUUUGACGGGUAGCCGGCCUGGGAGGGUGACCGGGCACAUGGGGACUGAGAUACGGCCCAGACUCCUACGGGGGACAACAGGGGGGAAUAUUGCCCAAUGGGCGGAAGCCUGAUGCAGCAACGCCGCGUGCGGGAUGACGGCCUUCGGGUUGUAAACCGCUUUCGCCUAUGACGAAGCGUGAGUGACGGUAAUGAAAGAAGAAGCACCGGCUAACUACGUG